This 112-nucleotide small nuclear RNA is filed under the name Helianthus annuus (common sunflower). RNAcentral's name for it is "sRNA HanXRQr2_Chr06g0242601". It matches the Rfam family "U5 spliceosomal RNA". Rfam says of the family: U5 RNA is a component of both types of known spliceosome. The precise function of this molecule is unknown, though it is known that the 5' loop is required for splice site selection and p220 binding, and that both the 3' stem-loop and the Sm site are important for Sm protein binding and cap methylation. Lineage: Eukaryota; Viridiplantae; Streptophyta; Magnoliopsida; Asterales; Asteraceae. The record is from Rfam by way of RNAcentral.
AGCUAUGCAAUGAGCACAAAGCGAACUAUUCUUUCGCCUUUUACUAAAGAAUACCGUGUGCUCGUUGCUCUAAAAUAGCAUAUGCCUAUUUUUGGAGAGUUUUGGAGAGCUU